CCUACGGGUGGCAGCAGUGAGGAAUAUUGGUCAAUGGUCGGGAGACUGAACCAGCCAAGCCGCGUGAGGGAUGAAGGUACAGAGUAUCGUAAACCUCUUUUGUCAGGGAGCAAAGACUGGGACGCGUCCCCGGAUGGGUGUACCUGAAGAAAAAGCAUCGGCGAACUCCGUGCCAGCAACCGCGGUAAUACGGAGGAUUGGAGCGUUAUCCGGGUUUAUUGGGUUUAAAGGGUGCGCAGGCGGGCUGUUAAGUCAACGGGAAAAGCCCGGGGCUCAACCCCGGCCCGCCGUUGAAACUGGCAGUCUCGAGUGGGAGAGAAGUAUGCGGAAGGCGCGGUGUAGCGGUGAAAUGCAUAGAUAUCGCGCAGAACUCCGAGUGCGAAGGCAGCAUGCCGGCUCCAAACUGACGCUGAGGCACGAAAGCGUGGGUAUCGAACAGGAGUAGAUACCCUGGUAGUC
RNAcentral lists this ribosomal RNA (459 nucleotides) under uncultured bacterium. Its description in RNAcentral is "partial 16S ribosomal RNA". It matches the Rfam family "Bacterial small subunit ribosomal RNA", at positions 338 to 795 of the family's 1533-position model. The record is from RNAcentral.